This 377-nucleotide ribosomal RNA is filed under the name Askenasia sp. RNAcentral describes it as "partial small subunit ribosomal RNA". It matches the Rfam family "Eukaryotic small subunit ribosomal RNA", at positions 582 to 975 of the family's 1831-position model. Lineage: Eukaryota; Ciliophora; Litostomatea; Cyclotrichida; Mesodiniidae. The record is from RNAcentral.
AUUCCAGCUCCAAUAGCGUAUAUUAAAGUUGUUGCAGUUAAAAAGCUCGUAGUUGAAUUUAUGGCGAUUCCAUAGGCUGGCUUCGGUCGUUUAUGUGGUCGUCAUCCGCUUGGGAAUCUCGUUCGGCCUUCAUUGAUCGGCGUGAGGAUCAGGCAUUUUACUUUGAAAAAAUAAGAGUGUUCAAGGCAGGCAAUCGCCAUGAAUACAAAAGCAUGGAAUAAUGGAAUAGGACUGAGGUUCAUUUUAUUGGUUAUUGAACUUCAGUAAUGAUUAAUAGGGACAGUUGGGGGCAUUAGUAUUUAAUUGUCAGAGGUGAAAUUCUUGGAUUACUUAAAGACUAACUUAUGCGAAAGCAUUUGCCAAGGAUGUUUUCAUCA